RNAcentral lists this ribosomal RNA (305 nucleotides) under uncultured bacterium. RNAcentral's name for it is "bacterial SSU rRNA". It matches the Rfam family "Bacterial small subunit ribosomal RNA", at positions 335 to 658 of the family's 1533-position model. The record is from RNAcentral.
ACCCUACGGGGGGCAGCAGUGAGGAAUAUUGGGCAAUGGAGGCAACUCUGACCCAGCCAUGCCGCGUGAGUGAAGAAGGUUUUCGGAUUGUAAAGCUCUUUCGGAUGUGACGAUGAUGACGGUAGCAUCUAAAGAAGCCCCGGCUAACUUCGUGCCAGCAGCCGCGGUAAUACGAAGGGGGCAAGCGUUGUUCGGAAUUACUGGGUGUAAAGGGCGUGUAGGCGGGAGGGCAAGUCAGACGUGAAAUUCCAGGGCUCAACCCUGGAACUGCGUUUGAAACUGUUCUUCUUGAGUGGUGGAGAGGC